RNAcentral lists this ribosomal RNA (312 nucleotides) under uncultured Enterobacteriaceae bacterium. RNAcentral's name for it is "bacterial SSU rRNA". It matches the Rfam family "Bacterial small subunit ribosomal RNA", at positions 355 to 655 of the family's 1533-position model. The record is from RNAcentral. Lineage: Bacteria; Pseudomonadati; Pseudomonadota; Gammaproteobacteria; Enterobacterales; Enterobacteriaceae.
UGGGGAAUAUUGCACAAUGGGCGCAAGCCUGAUGCAGCCAUGCCGCGUGUAUGAAGAAGGCCUUCGGGUUGUAAAGUACUUUCAGCGAGGAGGAAGGCGUUGUGGUUAAUAACCGCAACGAUUGACGUUACUCGCAGAAGAAGCACCGGCUAACUCCGUGCCAGCAGCCGCGGUAAUACGGAGGGUGCAAGCGUUAAUCGGAAUUACUGGGCGUAAAAGCGCACGCAGGCGGUCUGUCAAAGUCGGAUGUGAAAAUCCCGGGCGUCAACCUGGAAGACUGCAUCCGAAACUGGCAGGCUAGAGUCUUGUAGA